This 5372-nucleotide long non-coding RNA is filed under the name Sus scrofa (pig). Its description in RNAcentral is "lncRNA (ENSSSCG00055018403.1)". Lineage: Eukaryota; Metazoa; Chordata; Mammalia; Artiodactyla; Suidae. The record is from RNAcentral.
AGCAAUUGACAAGUUGAUACUAAAAUUCACAUGCUAAUGCAAGGGACUCCGGCCAAAACAAUCUUGGAAAAGAAAACAAAGUUGGAGGACUCAGGCUUCCUGACUUCCCAAAGCACCGUAAGCCUAAAGCAGUGGAGACAGCUGGGAACUAGCGUAAGGGUAAAGAGCAAUGCACCGGCCGAGCGCAGAAAUGAACCCACACCUCAAACAUCAACUGAUUUCUCCAAAGGGUGCCAAGAGUAUCCAAGGCGGAGAGGACAGUCUUUGGGGCUGGGACAAGGAGAUAUUUACAUAAUCCUGCUUCACAUCUGUCCCCACCACCGCAAAAACAAACUCAAAAUGGAUCAAGGACUUCAAUGUAAGGGCUGAAACUAUAAAACGCUGAGAAGAAUACACAGGUGUAUAUCUUUGCGACUUUGUAUUAGGCCACAGUUUCUUAGGUAUGACCACAAAAGCACAAGCAACAAAAGGAAAAAGAGAUACUUUGGACUUCAUCAAAUUCAAAACAUCUGUGCUUUGCAGGACACCACUGGGUGGGUGAAAAUGGGAGGAAAUAUCUGCAAAGCAUGCUUUUGUUAAAGGUCUAGUUUCUAGAAUAUAUAAAGAACUCUGGAGUUCCCGUCGUGGCGCAGUGGUUAACGAAUCCGACCAGGAACCAUGAGGUUGCGGGUUCAGUUCCUGCCCUUGCUCAGUGGGUUAAGAAUCCGGCGUUGCCGUGAGCUGUGGUGUAGGUCGCAGACGUGGCUCGGAUCCCGAGUUGCUGUGGCUGUGGCGUAGCCUGGCGGCUCCAGCUCCAAUUGGACCCCUAGCCUGGGAACCUCCAUAUGCCGCGGGAAGCCCUAAAAAAACAAAAACAAAAACAAAGAAUGUUCUGGCAUUCCCCCCGUGGCACAGUGAGUUAAGGAUCCAGAGAUGCUGCAGCCAUGGCGUAGGUGGCAGCUGCAGCCCAGAUUUGAGCCCUAGCCUGGAAACUUUCAUAUGCUGCACAUACGGCAGAAAAGGAAAAGAGAAAAAAAGAAUAUUCACAGCAGCAUAAUUCAUAAUAGUCAAAAUGUGGAAACAACCCAGAUGUCUAUCAACUGAUGAAUGGGUAAACAAAAUAUUAUAUAUACCUACAAUGGAAUAGUACUCAGCCAGGAAAAAGAAUGAAGUACAGAUUCAUACCACAACUUAGAUGAGCCUUGAAAACAUCAGGCUAAGUGAAAGAAGCCAGACACACAAGCCCACAUCCUGUAUAAUUUCAUUACAUGAAAUGUCCGGAAUAAGCAGAUUUAGAGGCAGAAAGUAGCGGUUGUCAGGGACUGAGGGAGAAGGGGAUGGGGAGCGGCUGCAAAUGGGUGUGGGGUUUUUAGAGCGAUGAAAAAGUUCUGGAAUUGGAUACAGAUGACAGCUGAACAAUGUUUGUGAGUAUACUUAAAAAAAUCAUGAAUUAGCAAAAGGGGAGAUUUUAGCAUGUGAAUUGUAUCUCAACUUAGAAGAAAAUCAACAACAAAAGUAAGGGCCUCGGGACGCCACAGAAAGGUUGUUGUUUUAUAACGCCAUUUGACUAAUUGCGAAUCUGCACUUUUCAGGACUACAAGCUAGCCAUUCUUUGCCGAUUUUUAUUCCCACCAUUUAUUCCAGAAUCCUUUCAAACAGAAUAUAGGUGUUACAAAGAACCAUGAGAUGUUUCAGGCUAGAGGUUAGUCAGAGAUCAACUGGUGCCAACACCUCAUUUAGAGACCAGACAUCCAGGGCAGUGGCUUGCAAGAUGCCGCAGCAAGGUGGAGACCAUAUCAGAACCAGAACCCGCUCCUCCACGCCUCGCUGGCGCUCUCACUCCACCACAUGAACACGACCCAAUCCGCAGGGCUUCGUAACCGCACAUCUCCCCGUGAUGAAAUACUGGCUCCCCCGAAGCCUGGGGGACAGCUACUGGAACCCCGAUUUCGGAAAAUCAGCUAUCACUUCAAGUUCAACAGUCCAAGGGACGUAACGUAACGAUCACAAGACCCUGUGGUCACUAACACAACCUUCUUUUCCCCAGAGAAGCAAAGCACAGCAGAGACCAAGGCGGGAGCAAAGACUGGAAAGACAGCCCCGAGGUGAGACGGAGCCAACCACAGAGCCCCACGUGCCCCGAACCGAAAGCAGCGAUGCAUCCAAUGAAACGCCAGCUCAGGGGCCAACCCCCAUAAGGGCUCCAGGGACAUCUGCAGGGAGGGGACCUUUAAAGCGGGAAGGGAGAGGUUUAUUUCACCUCUACCCUCUAGAAAAGGAUGCCCACGAGUAACCAGCAGAACGCGGAGGAGCCGGUCGGGAGAAGUAACGCGUGUCAGAGGCGGCGAACGCUGCUGCAGACUCGGACCGAGGAGAAACCGCUCAGCCACCCUCCACUGGACCACGGAGGCCACCGAGGGGCGACCAGGGAAAUCAGCCGCCCGGGGUGCAACCCCUGGCUGGGGACAGGCCAGGGCCGUCAGAGGAAUAACGCCCGUACGAGGACUGAACGCUCUCCUUCGUCUCGGGAUCUCCCCGAAGCCCCUCGAUGGCAGCACGGCGCUGACGCCUCUGCCCAUCAGGACUCACCCUUCGACGGUCGCCUCUCCAAACCCAGACCUGCAGGCAGCCAGGGAGCACUGCACGGGCCUGAUCACUGCCUACGUGGCUCUGGAGUCCGUCACGAGCAGCUGUGACAGCGUCCUCAGGCCCCGGCGCUGACAGGGGGUGGGGGGUAGCUGUGUCCUUUUAACUCACUCCAAGGCAGUUAAGGCCUCUUAAUAAGCAUCUCCCCAGGGGUGAGUCUGAUGCCCCGUCUGGGUGACCUCACAUCCUCUGUCACUGACAACGCGGACCGGCCUGUGGAAGAUCGACAACCUGCACUAAGGACGCCCAGAGAAGCACCUGCAGCGGAUCUUGGGCACCACAGAGACCCCCGCAGGAGGCCUUGAGCGAGGGGGAGGGCGAGGCAGGAGCCACGCCCAUCUCAGGCUGCUCUAACCCCGCCAGUCGUGGGACGGGUGGCUGCCUGCGGGCCUGUAACCUGUCUGGGCCUCAGCUUCCUCAACUACAAAAUAGAAGCGACAACCCGACCCACACCUCGCAGGACAGCUGCAAGGGUGCAACAAUCAAAACAAUCGAUUUAAAACGCAGCAGAGUCGGAGCUCCCGUCAUGGCACAGCGGAAAUGAAUCCAACUAGGAACCACGAGGUUGCGGGUUCGAUCCCUGGCCUCGCUCAGUGGAUUCGGCGUUGCUGUGAGCUAGGGUGUAGGUUGUAGAUUUGGCUCGGAUCUGGUGUUGCUGUGCUGCCUGUGGUGUAGGCCAGCAGCUAUAACUCCAAUUGGACCACUAGCCUGGGAACCUCCAUGUGCCGUGGGUGCAGCAGCCCUAAAGAGACAAAAAAUAAAUCAAACACAGCAGAGUCCUUAAUCCAGAAUUAAGUCUCAAAGAAAUGUUGGCCACUGGUGUCGUUAAUGUUAAAAAACAAAACAAAACAAACUCGAGUGAGACUGUGCUUUCUUCUCGGAAACUGGGGGGGGGGGGGGGGCAAACCCGGACACCCUGGCUAGAAUCCUGAAAGCCGAGGGAAUCCAUCAUUACAGGCGACUGACCUCCUCAGCCCCUCGACGUGAUCGUCAACAGCUGCAGCCCCACCGCUGGAGCCGCCUCCAGCGCUGCGUGGAGGGAUGAGGUCACUGACGAUACCCUAGUAGGACAGGCCUCCUGCCAGGCUGUGGGCGGCGCCCGGGGCCCCCGGCUCUGCAGGGCUGGGCACGUCAGCAGAGCAGUGAAGGGUAGAGAGGAGCCGCUCCGAAGCAACAAGGACAAAGGGAGCAAAGAGGAAGCCCUGCGGCAGGAUUCCCCAGAAGUGUCCACUCAGGACGUGCGAUAGAUGCAACGUGCCAAGACGGACGGCAAGAGCAAGGCGGCACGUGGAGGGCCUCUUCGGGCCUUUGACAGAGGCAGUUGGCAGCGACCAGAGCUGACGCACAUGUCAAAAUGCUUGAGUUUGAAUCCUGGCUCCACCUCUUCCUAGCCCUGCGAUCUUGGAAAGGGGCUUAGGUUCUCUGGACCUUCCAGGGGUUUCUGCAAAUCUUACAUAAGCUAAGAGCUCAUAUGCGUGAACAACUUAUAGCUUGCACGGCGCACAAUAAGUGCCCAAUUAAUGCUAACAGAAUAGGCCAGAGAGAACACCAAAAAACAAAAAACCCAACACUUACCAACAAUGACACUUUUCACUCUGUUGAUACCCCAAAUGCACUCACACCACACCAGCCUCAUUUCAAACAUGUAACCUCACGGAAAACAACACAAAACUCUGGGCAGUUGCUUCCCAUUAGUCCACGGCUUCACAGGGAAGCUCGCCCUGCAGACUCCAGGCCGGCUUAUGACCAACCAGAGAAACAAGAAAGGGAAAAGAGGCGAACUGGCAGCCCCGCUUGAGUCCCACCUACAGGACUCAGGAGGUGCAAUUCGCAGUUUCGCUCGACUCCAAGGCAGGCAGAGGUGAAUCAGCUCCCCCAGGACCUCAGGAGAAACUCAGCCCCGACCUUGAAAAAAUGCAGACAGCACCGUGGCUGUCAAACCACAACCGACAGCCUUACCCUCCACGCUCGUGCCUCUAAAUACCUUCACUGCUCACUCGAUAAUUCUAACGCUGGCUUGGGGUGCCGCUCCUCUCAGCUAAAUUCUAAGAACCAAUUCAUGACAAUGACAGUAUAAUAAUUAUAAAGUCUGUUUAAACAGCACUGUUAGUCAUUCUCUCCCUCCAAAAUACAAUUAACUAAAUUAAUCUUACCAUCAAGCCUGGAAUUCUCGGCCUGAAUUCAGGGCGGGGUGGGGUGGGUGGGUUCAUAAACUUGGACUAGAAAAAAGAAUUACAGGAGUUCCCGUCAUGGGGCAGCAGAAACGAAUCCAACUAGGAACCAUGAGGUUGCAGGUUCAAUCCCUGGCCUCCCUCAGUGGGUUAAGGAUCCAGCAUCGCCAUGAGCUGUGGUGCAGGUCCAAGACGCGGCUGGGAUCUGGCGCGCUGUGGUGUAGGCCGGCAGCUGUAGCUCUGAUUAGACCCCUAGCCUGGGAACCUCCGUAUACCGCAGAUGCGGCCCUCAAAAGCCAAAAAAAAAAAAAGAAAGAAAAAGAAUCACAUCUGUAUUUCAUUAGCCCCUAACUGAAAUUUAACAUUUUUCUCAAUUAUGAAUGUAAGCAGCACACCAUGGUAGUAUCAGCAAUACCUGUGACUCCAACAAAAGCUAUAUUAACACAAGGUUAGAGUUGUCAGAAAGAGCUCCCAGCACUGCUUACCUUCAUCAGUACCUCAAAAUCGAAGUCUUCAUUAGACCACUCCCAAAUCUUGAUAUUUAAUGAUUUAGUACAGAAAUAUACCUUAGGAUAA